This is a long non-coding RNA of Pyrus x bretschneideri (Chinese white pear), 727 nucleotides long. RefSeq lists it as uncharacterized. NCBI's taxonomy places the organism in Eukaryota, Viridiplantae, Streptophyta, Magnoliopsida, Rosales, Rosaceae. The record is from RefSeq and is a predicted model, not a curated record. The transcript has 2 exons.
UCUCAGUUGUCCAUUGGGCAUUAGGUUGGACUUUGGAUCCUCUUCUCUUCUCAGACAGGCUUCUCGAAUCUCUCCCGCUCAGCUCUGCAUCUCCCUCGCCUUCGCAAGUCAUAACCUUCCUCCUCAUCCUCUUCCGUGUAGCGGCCCUCUCUGUGAACUUCAGCUCUGCAUCUCCGUUCAAGAUUCAUGCAAGCACAUGGGAAAGCAAUACUGCAUCGCCGCAUCUGAGAUUUGCAGCUUUGGAGACGAAAUCAAAGGAGAUGCGGAAGAGAGUUACCUUUAUCAGUGUCAAGAACUGAGAGGGACAUGAGAUACAGCUAGGGAGGCACGGCUGGGUAUUUGUUUUUGAGGUUGAUCUAUGGCCGAAGAAUGCUGAGAUCAUGGUGAAGUAUGUUUUGGACCAUGAAAUUCAUUGGAGGGGAUGCGGCUGCUAUGGUUUUUGAGGGAAAUGAGACAUGAAUGGAGGAGUCUGCGGCUUUGGGCUCCAGGUGAAAGAGAAGGGGAGCUUCUCAAACGGCUAGGUUUGGGGCAACGAGGAUACUGGGGCUUAAUUUAGCUUAAGGGCACUUUGAUUCGGGUCCAAAAAAUUCAGUUGUUUUUUAAUUGGGUCCAAUUUUAUUUGAUUUCUAUUACACCUGUUUUGCCCUUAGAAAAUAUAUUUUUUUUUAAUUCUAUAAAUUUGAAUCUUCAAAUACCUUUAUCUACCCGUUUUCUAAUUAAAAAGACA